CCUACGGGUGGCUGCAGUGGGGAAUAUUGGACAAUGGGGGCAACCCUGAUCCAGCCAUGCCGCGUGUGUGAAGAAGGCCCUCGGGUUGUAAAGCACUUUCAGUGAGGAAGAACGCCUGGUGGUUAAUACCCAUCAGGAAAGACAUCACCCACAGAAGAAGCACUGGCUAACUCCGUGCCAGCAGCCGCGGUAAUACGGAGGGUGCGAGCGUUAAUCGGAAUUACUGGGCGUAAAGCGCGCGUAGGUGGCUUGAUAAGCCGGUUGUGAAAGCCCCGGGCUCAACCUGGGAACGGCAUCCGGAACUGUCAAGCUAGAGUGCAGGAGAGGAAGGUAGAAUUCCCGGUGUAGCGGUGAAAUGCGUAGAGAUCGGGAGGAAUACCAGUGGCGAAGGCGGCCUUCUGGACUGACACUGACACUGAGGUGCGAAAGCGUGGGUAGCAAACAGGAUUAGAUACCCUUGUAGUC
This 465-nucleotide ribosomal RNA is filed under the name Vreelandella stevensii. RNAcentral describes it as "partial 16S ribosomal RNA". It matches the Rfam family "Bacterial small subunit ribosomal RNA", at positions 338 to 795 of the family's 1533-position model. Lineage: Bacteria; Pseudomonadati; Pseudomonadota; Gammaproteobacteria; Oceanospirillales; Halomonadaceae. The record is from RNAcentral.